RNAcentral lists this ribosomal RNA (513 nucleotides) under Ecitomorpha arachnoides. RNAcentral describes it as "partial 16S ribosomal RNA". The stretch from base 387 to 513 matches the Rfam family "Bacterial large subunit ribosomal RNA", at positions 2473 to 2600 of the family's 2925-position model. The record is from RNAcentral. Lineage: Eukaryota; Metazoa; Arthropoda; Insecta; Coleoptera; Staphylinidae.
GUCUUUUUGAAUAUAAUUUAAAGUCUAACCUGCCCAAUGAUGAAUUUUAAUGGCCGCAGUAUUUUGACUGUGCAAAGGUAGCAUAAUCAUUAGUUUCUUAAUUAGAAACUGGAAUGAAUGGUUGAACGAGAAAAUAACUGUCUCUUUAUAAUUUUUUUAGAAUUUUAUUUUUAAGUUAAAAAGCUUAAAUGAAUUUAAAAGACGAGAAGACCCUAUAGAGUUUAAUAUAAUUAAUAAUAAUAAUAAGAUUUGUUUAUUUAUUAAAUUAUUUUAAAUUAUAUUUUUUUGGGGUGAUGAAAAAAUUUAAAUAACUUUUUAUUAAUAAAAACAUUAAUUUAUGAAUUUUUGAUCCAUUAAUUAUGAUUAUAAGAUUAAAUUACCUUAGGGAUAACAGCGUUAUUUUUUUAUAGAGUUCAAAUCGAUAAAAAAGUUUGCGACCUCGAUGUUGGAUUAAAAUAUAAUUUUGGUGUAGAAGCUAAAAUUUUAGGUCUGUUCGACCUUUAAAAUUUUACA